GAUGAAGAACGUAGCGAAAUGCGAUAAGUAAUGUGAAUUGCAGAAUUCAGUGAAUCAUCGAAUCUCUGAACGCACAUUGCGCCCGCCAGUAUUCUGGCGGGCAUGCCUGUUCGAGCGUCAUUUCAACCAUCAAGCCCCCGGCUUGUGUUGGGGACCUGCGGCUGCCGCAGGCCCUGAAAACCAGUGGCGGGCUCGCUGUCACACCGAGCGUAGUAGAUUUUCAUCUCGCUCAGGGCGUGCUGCGGGUUCCGGCCGUAAAAAGCCUUAUUUACCCAAGGUUGACCUCGGAUCAGGUAGGAAGACCCGCUGAACUUAAGCAUAUCAAUAAGCGGAGGA
RNAcentral lists this unclassified non-coding RNA (336 nucleotides) under soil metagenome. Its description in RNAcentral is "partial contains 5.8S ribosomal RNA, internal transcribed spacer 2, and large subunit ribosomal RNA". The stretch from base 1 to 120 matches the Rfam family "5.8S ribosomal RNA", at positions 35 to 154 of the family's 154-position model. The record is from RNAcentral.